CGGAAUUCCAUCCCCCUCUGCCGUACUCCAGCCUUGCAGUCACAAAGGCAGUUCCCAGGUUGAGCCCGGGGAUUUCACCUCUGUCUUACAAAACCGCCUGCGCACGCUUUACGCCCAGUAAUUCCGAUUAACGCUCGCACCCUACGUAUUACCGCGGCUGCUGGCACGUAGUUAGCCGGUGCUUAUUCUUCAGGUACCGUCAUCCCCACGAGGUAUUAACCCACAGGAUUUCUUCCCUGACAAAAGCAGUUUACAACCCGAAGGCCUUCUUCCUGCACGCGGCAUUGCUGGAUCAGGGUUGCC
This 303-nucleotide ribosomal RNA is filed under the name uncultured Gammaproteobacteria bacterium. RNAcentral describes it as "partial 16S ribosomal RNA". Lineage: Bacteria; Pseudomonadati; Pseudomonadota; Gammaproteobacteria. The record is from RNAcentral.